UUUUUUAUUCGCUCCAAACACACCUCUAACCCUAUCUCUCUCUUCCUUUCCUUUUCUUGUGAAACCCUAGAGCGCCGCACCUCAAUUUUUUUCUUUCUCUUGCCAAAAAUGGGAACCGCACAGAGGGCUCAGGCUUUUCGCAAACCUUGUACAACCAGUAACGUGAAACAAUUAAUGUUUCAACAUCGUUUUCACUCAAACUCGUCCGAACACAGUGAAAGAGUCUUUAAAGCUGGACCAUAGCUUCAUGAGUCUGUGAAGGAAGUUAUGACAGGGUUGGAUGGUUGUGAAUCUGCCUAGGACCUCUAGUGUUGUCACUGGAUGAUUAGGGUGAGGACAUUAGGAUGGGGGAAAUGGUUUUAGGAGAGGAAAAGUUGAGCCUGGGCAUGAACGCUGUAUGAAACCUUUGGUUGGAAUCUUGUGGAACCUGUACUUGAAAAGUUGGAAAUGAAAUGUUUUAUCGAC
This is a long non-coding RNA of Lycium barbarum (goji berry), 465 nucleotides long. RefSeq lists it as uncharacterized. The record is from RefSeq and is a predicted model, not a curated record. Lineage: Eukaryota; Viridiplantae; Streptophyta; Magnoliopsida; Solanales; Solanaceae. The transcript has 2 exons.